UGGUGUUGAAAAUUUGCAGGCCUCCUUAUCGUGCAGCUAAAAUAAGCCGAGUUUGUUACUCCUCCGUGGUGGGGUGCUGUGGGCACUCCCUCAUGUCACUAGCUCUUGCCGGCCUGGUCAUCCUGGUUGGACAGCGUCGCGAGGCUGCACGUAUGCGACGCUGGUGGUCGAAGCUGCUGCUGCUGCUUUAUUUGCUCUCAGGUCUGAUGCCCACAACACGAGCCAAAGCAAAGGAGGACGUGGCAUUGCAGUGCGAGCUGUCUGGUUCAUGGGAAGAAGUGUGAAGAAUACCACCUUCCACCGCGUUUGCAACCUUUUUCCAUGUGAUUGAUGGAAGAAGAUCGAUGGGAUCGGGAGUGCGCCACGGUGUUCCAGAAUCACAAUUCUGAAAUCCAACCAAGUGUGCUGAGUAAGUUACUAUGACUUCGUCAGUAUGGUUUGAGGAUCGGUAUGUGUCGAUGCACCUGUAGUGCAAUAUUACGUUACUACAUUCCUGUGGGAUUGCAACUUUUUUUGCAUGUGAUUGAUGAAAGGAGAUGUGAUCGGGAGUGCGCUACGGUGUUCCAGAAUCUUGAUUCUGAAUCCCACCAAGUGUGGUUAGUCUAUGACUUGGUCAGUAUGAUUUGAGGAUCGGUGUCGAUGCCCUGUAGCACGACGUUACUUGCUUUUUGACAGUCAGGAUGAAGAUGCUAACUGCAGAGCUGAUGUUCUCGGUGCCCGAUUUUGGACCACCAGCAGAGUUCUACCACACGCCACAUCAGGUGCAAGUAGUUUAGCCAUAGCACAUCACCAAACAUAUAUAUAUAGAUAACAUAUUUUUCUCACUGCUGGUCAGUUUCCCUUUGUCAAAUGCGCCCGUCUGCCGUCAGGUUGCCUGCACGCAAGAGGCUUCAGGCCAAUUCUUGAUUACCAUACAGCUGAACUGAAGCUACACCUGACCUAAACCCGGCACGGUCCACACGGAUACUGCAGACAACGCUUGAACUGAAGCCUCUUCCAGGUUAUGAAAAAUGUUUGCUAGCUCAGGGGCGACCGCCUACAUGUCUUGUAUGUGUCGGAUGGAGACCCUUGCCAUAUGGCUCGCAAUCUUCAUGCUCAUACAUUUUGUUUUCGACGGGUCGCUUCGGUGAUUUGGUAUAGUGGUGCCGGUUGUUUGGUGCGGAUGAGCCCAGACUCCAGAAUGGUCCUCCGAAAUAGCCGGGCAGGACCAGAGAAUUGACGGUUCAAACAGUUGCUCUCUGCUUAUUGUCUUUCUGAUUUUUUUUUUGUGGGAAAAUUGAUUCCUCUGUUCAGGACAAGGCUUGGACGCAGCCUAGCAAAUCAAUGCACCCAGGGACAAAAAAAAAACCCUGCAGUCCAGAUUUGAUGUGUGCAAGUGCUGAAGAAGGCUCUGAUUAUCUACUCCCACUAUCAGCUCGAACACAACUCAAUCAUUCCAGGAACAGAGCUAGUGCGAGGCCAAGGAUUCCUAGGACUACUUGCAAGCGUGGUGGGGUGUUAGGUGCUGCUAACGUCAAUCCUUGGGAGAAUCCUUGGCCUUGGCCUUGGCCUUUUGAUUGUGCGUGGCGCCUUUGCCAUGCACGAGUUCGGCCGUUAGCGCGCGCAUGAUGAUGAAUUGAUGAUGCCUCCUAGUCGUAGGCCACGCCCGGUCCGGCCGGCCGGCGCAUGCAUCAGAUGCAUAUGCAUGAUGGAUGAUACCAUCCUGAUGCCAAAACUUUGUCAUAUGUCAUAACUUGAUCAUGCAAUCCAAGUAAAAUAGACUUGAUAGUUUAAAGCAAACUCAUCAUGCAUGUGCUUUGUUUCUUUGGGUUGUUGUCGCUGCUGCUGCAAUACAUACUCUUUUUGUAAAGAAAUACA
Long non-coding RNA from Triticum dicoccoides, 1857 nucleotides. RefSeq lists it as uncharacterized. Lineage: Eukaryota; Viridiplantae; Streptophyta; Magnoliopsida; Poales; Poaceae. The record is from RefSeq and is a predicted model, not a curated record. The transcript is spliced from 4 exons.